GACGAACGCUGGCGGCGUGCUUAACACAUGCAAGUCGAGCGGUUAAGGCCCUUUCGGGGGUACGACGAGCGGCGAACGGGUGAGUAACACGUGGGUGACCUGCCCUCAGCUCUGGGAUAAGCCUGGGAAACCGGGUCUAAUACCGGAUAUGACUCCAUGACGCAUGUUGUGGGGUGGAAAGCCUUGUGCGGCUGAGGAUGGGCCCGCGGCCUAUCAGCUUGUUGGUGGGGUGAUGGCCUACCAAGGCGACGACGGGUAGCCGGCCUGAGAGGGCGACCGGCCACACUGGGACUGAGACACGGCCCAGACUCCUACGGGAGGCAGCAGUGGGGAAUCUUGCGCAAUGGGCGAAAGCCUGACGCAGCGACGCCGCGUGAGGGAUGACGGCCUGGU
Molecule: ribosomal RNA, 393 nt
Filed under: uncultured bacterium
Lineage: Bacteria
Description: bacterial SSU rRNA
Rfam family: Bacterial small subunit ribosomal RNA
Source: RNAcentral